CAACACUUCUGCCACCUCCAGCUUCUCCGGGCUGCCCAUGACCUCGCUGGUGUGGAACAAGGGUCCCAGAGCACCAACAGACCCCUUGCCAUGCCCUGGCCGGUGGUUCCUGCAAGCCUCAUCCCAUCGACUUCGCUGCAGCCUUAAGUCAUGAGAAAAUAGGUUGAACUUGUGGGAACAAAACUGCUGAAAGGCAGUGUCAGCAGCACAAUGGGGAUUUCUCAGCUGCGGUGGUGGUGGUGGAGCUGCCGCAUAACAUAACAAAAACAAUGUAUGAAGACAGGCUUAGACUGGACAUCAGGAUCUACUGGAGCAAAGUCAGAAAUAAGGGUGGAUUAACCUUACAUUCACAAGUUGGAAGUGUACUCCAUGCAACAUCAUUUCCUUUAAGCUGACACUGGAUGAAAUGACUCCCGUUUAAUCUGUACCUAAGUGAAAAUACACAAGAGAAGAAGCAUUUGCGUAACUA
This is a long non-coding RNA of Pezoporus occidentalis (night parrot), 469 nucleotides long. RefSeq lists it as uncharacterized. The record is from RefSeq and is a predicted model, not a curated record. The transcript has 2 exons. Lineage: Eukaryota; Metazoa; Chordata; Aves; Psittaciformes; Psittacidae.